Molecule: long non-coding RNA, 816 nt
Filed under: Homo sapiens (human)
Lineage: Eukaryota; Metazoa; Chordata; Mammalia; Primates; Hominidae
Description: non-protein coding lnc-FAM86C1-3:1
Source: RNAcentral
GUAGACGUUGUUGAGUCAUUUUUUAUCCAUUAAGCCUGUCUCUAUCUUUUAGGUAGGUAAUUUAACACAUAUUCAAAGUUAUUAUUGAUAGGUGAGAACUUAUUCCUGUCAUUUUGUUCAUUGUUUUCUGGUUAUUUUGUAUAUCCUUUUGAUUUGGUUUGGCUGUGUCCCCACUCAGAUCUCAUCUUGAAUUUCCAUGUGUUGUGGGAGGGACCCAGUGGGAAGUAGUUAAAUCAUGGGGGCAGGUAUUUUCCAUGCUAUUCUUUUGAUAGUGAGUAAGUCUCAUGAGAUCUGAUGGUUUUAAAAGGAGGAGUUUCCCUGCUCAAGCUCUCUCUUUGCCUGCUGCCAUCCCUGUAAGAUGUGACUUGUCUCUCCUUGACUUCUGCAAUGAUUUUGAAGCCUCCCCAGCAAAGUAGAACUGUAAGUCCAUUAAACCUCUUUCUUUUGUAAAUUUCCCAGUCUUGUAUGUGUCUUUAUCAGCCGUGUGAGAAUGGACUAAUAUAGUAAAUUGGUACCAGAAGUGAGGUGUUCCUAAAAGAUACCUGUAUAUGUGUAAGUGAUUUUGGAACUGGGAAACAGGCAGAGGUUGGAGGGCUCAGAAAGAGACAGGAAAAUGUGGGAAAAUUUGGAAGAGAUUUCCUAGAGACUUGCCCAAAAUGCUGAUGGUUAUAUGAACAAUAAAGUCUAGGCUGAGAUGGUCUCAGAUGGAAAUGAGGAACUUGCCAGGAACUGGCACAAAAGUGACUCCUGUUAUGUUUUAGCAAAGAGACUGGUGGCAUUUUGCCCCUGCUGUAGAGAUUUGUGGAAUUUUGAACU